CUUGUGGAUAUGGAAGUUCUGAAACAAGCAACUCAGACUCUCUUCUACGGUACAUGCAGUUGCCGAUAUUCGAUUUUGAUACAUGCAAAAAGAGGUAUGCAGCCGUCGAUGAUGAACUAAGUGACAACCAUUUUUGCGUUGGGAAUAUAUUCAUGAAAUUUUUCUACACAGGUGACUCUGGAGGAUGCAUAAUGUAUCAGAAUGAAACUACAAAUGAUAGAGUUUGUAUAGGAAUGAUUUCUUUUGCUUAUGAUGAUAUCGUAGAAGCCUGGCCCCAAGUACAAGUAAAAUUGUCAAAUUAUUUAGACUGGAU
Sitodiplosis mosellana (orange wheat blossom midge) is the source of this 313-nucleotide long non-coding RNA. RefSeq lists it as uncharacterized. The record is from RefSeq and is a predicted model, not a curated record. The transcript has 3 exons. NCBI's taxonomy places the organism in Eukaryota, Metazoa, Arthropoda, Insecta, Diptera, Cecidomyiidae.